Molecule: ribosomal RNA, 835 nt
Filed under: uncultured Actinomycetes bacterium
Lineage: Bacteria; Bacillati; Actinomycetota; Actinomycetes
Description: bacterial SSU rRNA
Rfam family: Bacterial small subunit ribosomal RNA
Source: RNAcentral
AUUGUGCAUAGCACUAAGUGUGUUAUCUCGAUGUCUUGUCUAUUUGUUAUGCGCUAGAAGGUGCGAAAUCAGUUAAACUAAAUUUUUUUGGCGUAUAACGAGUGAUAAGACAACGGUUAAUAUAUUUUGUGCUAUGCACGAAAUCAGUGGCGGACGAGUGAGUACAAGCAAGGAACGUACCCUGAAGUAUCGCAUAGCUCGUCGAAAGACGGGGUAAUACGGUAUGUGGACGCAAGUCUAAAGGCGUAAGUCGCUUCAGGAGCGGCCUUGUACCUAUCAGCUAGUUGGUGAGGUAACGGCUUACCAAGGCUACGACGGGUAGGGGGUGUGAGAGCAUGACCCCCCACGAUGGCACUGAGAUACGGGCCAUACACCUACGGGUGGCAGCAACUGGGAAUCGUUGACAAUGGGCGAAAGCCUGAUCACGCGACGCCGCGUGAAGGAUGAAGGCCCUCGGGUCGUAAACUUCUUUUGCCAAAUUUCCGAAUUUUGGCGAAUAAGCAUCUACUAACUACGUGCCAGCAGUCGCGGUAAUACGUAGGAUGCAAGCGUUAUCCGGAAUCACUGGGCGUAAAGAGUCGUGUAGGCGGUCUUCCGCAUCGUAUUUGAAAGCCCGAGGCUUAACCUCGGUGUUGGAUACGAGAUGGGGAGACUUGAGGGUAGAAGAGGGAAGGGGAACUCAUAGUGAAGCAGUGAAAUGCGUUGAUAUUAUGAGGAACACCGAAGGCGAAGGCACCUUCCUGGUAUACACCUGACGCUGAGACACGAAAGCUAGGGGAGCGAAGCAGAUUAGAGACCUGCGUAGUCCUAGCCCUAAACGCAUGCCUGCUAGAUG